CAUCGCCUCUUGCCCUCAUAAGAGGUCCAGCCUGCCCAGUGACUUUAUUUAACGGCCGCGGUAUUCUAACCGUGCAAAGGUAGCGUAAUCACUUGUCUUCUAAAUAAAGACCAGUAUGAAAGGCACCACGAAGACUAAACUGUCUCCUUUCUCCAAUCAGUGAACCUAAUCUCCCCGUGAAGAAGCGGGGAUCCUACUAUAAGACGAGAAGACCCUAUGGAGCUUAAAACAUCAUAACAUUUGCUACUACUUAUAACCACUCCGGUCUAUCUCUUAAACAGCAUCCUGAUUAUAUGUUUUUGGUUGGGGUGACCGCGGAGAAAAACUCAUCCUCCACAGUAAGGGACCUCCUCCCAAGCAAUAAGUUACAACUUUAUGCAUCAAAAUUUGACAUUUAUUGACCCAACAAAUUGAUUAACGAACCAAGUUACCCUGGGGAUAACAGCACAAUCCACUUUGAGAGCCCAUAUCGACAAGUGGGCUUAUGACCUCGAUGUUGGAUCGGGAUAUCCUAGUGGUGCAACCGCUACUAAAGGUUCGUUUGUUCAACGAUUAAAACCCC
Molecule: ribosomal RNA, 562 nt
Filed under: Pristimantis cf. altamazonicus ABGD cluster 17
Lineage: Eukaryota; Metazoa; Chordata; Amphibia; Anura; Strabomantidae
Description: partial large subunit ribosomal RNA
Rfam family: Bacterial large subunit ribosomal RNA
Source: RNAcentral